This 424-nucleotide ribosomal RNA is filed under the name uncultured bacterium. Its description in RNAcentral is "partial 16S ribosomal RNA". It matches the Rfam family "Bacterial small subunit ribosomal RNA", at positions 354 to 795 of the family's 1533-position model. The record is from RNAcentral.
GUAGGGAAUCUUGCGCAAUGGGCGAAAGCCUGACGCAGCCAUGCCGCGUGAAUGAUGAAGGUCUUAGGAUUGUAAAAUUCUUUCACCGGGGACGAUAAUGACGGUACCCGGAGAAGAAGCCCCGGCUAACUUCGUGCCAGCAGCCGCGGUAAUACGAAGGGGGCUAGCGUUGCUCGGAAUUACUGGGCGUAAAGGGAGCGUAGGCGGAUAGUUUAGUCAGAGGUGAAAGCCCAGGGCUCAACCUUGGAAUUGCCUUUGAUACUGGCUAUCUUGAGUAUGGAAGAGGUAUGUGGAACUCCGAGUGUAGAGGUGAAAUUCGUAGAUAUUCGGAAGAACACCAGUGGCGAAGGCGACAUACUGGUCCAUUACUGACGCUGAGGCUCGAAAGCGUGGGGAGCAAACAGGAUUAGAAACCCGUGUAUCC